GCCAGCACGGUGCAGUGGUUUGAGCACUGGACUAUGAUUCUAGACAUCAGGGUUCAAUUCCCUGCUUGGCC
This 71-nucleotide transfer RNA is filed under the name Phrynosoma platyrhinos (Desert horned lizard). RNAcentral's name for it is "tRNA-OTHER". Lineage: Eukaryota; Metazoa; Chordata; Lepidosauria; Squamata; Phrynosomatidae. The record is from RNAcentral.